GUUUCGCUUUUGUUUCUGAUUUGUUACAAUCUGUGAAUUCUAAGCUACUCCCAACAAAGUCAAAAGAAUGAAAUUUUGUUAGAAAGAAGAUGAAGGACGCAGCUUGUGUGAGGUGCAGGAGCUAAGUGGCUACCGCGGCAAUACGAAUGUGCUGUGUGAGGCCCACACAAACCUUAAGCAGAUUCAAGAGCAAAGAAAAGUGCUGUCACAAAUCCACAGCAUGCAGAGGAUACAGAGAAGCACUGGCCUCCCCUGGCCCAGGCUGCGGCAAACCCAGCAGCCUCCUUAAUGCACAAAAGCCAUGGGUGGUAGCCAGCCACAUGAGGUGGUCACAGGAACCCACCUGACUGGGUUGGGUGCCUGGUAUAGGUGGUUAGUAAUGAAUUAACCAGACUCGGUAGAAUAAUAGAUGCCAUUUAUUUGUGGGAAGAAUUUACACAAGGAUGCAGACCCGACUCCCAGAUGCUCUCCACGACUUGAUGGGGGCCUUCUGAGCCCUGAUCCUUUCCAUUUAUCUGGUCAAGUUCGCACCUGUAAACACACACUGCUACAGGUGUGUCUUCUCAUCAACUGACUGCAGAUGAAGCUUCAAUUCAGGGUCCAUGUAAAAUGUGCAGUAGGAAAACAGAAAACACUCAUCUUCAAGAAGCCAAAAAGAAACACAAACAUGUAGAUGCCUAAAGAAGAAAGGAUAGUUAUCCAGAAAGAACCAUCAAAUAAAGAAGCCAUAUGAGUAAGGAACAUCACAAGAUCACAGAAUUGAAUCACCAGAGCUCAUGGGGACAGUCAGAGAAUUAGCAUGGGACUGACCUAGGUAUUUUUUUUUUUUAAUGUAAGUUACAGUUGUGUAAGUUACUGUUCUUGUGGGGAUCCUAACAGUGGGAACAGUGCUCUCUCUUGUAGCAUGAAUUCUAGUUGGUAUUAAUAAUAAAAUCCCAGAGUCAGAUAUUGGAGUUAAAACUGAAGAUCAAAGAAGAAAAGUGGCCAGCCAUUGGAAAGUCCUCACCUUUACCAAUGCUCACACUGAAAGGGGCAGUCCUGUCUUUAGAUUGCAUCUCCAGACUGCAUCUGUCUCCAUCAUACCUCAGACUGCAUUGAGCUCCUGUCUCCUCUAGCCUUAUAUUCCUCUCUAGUGCAGGGAUUAAAGGUAUGGGAUGCCAAGUGCUGAGACCACCUUUGUGUGAGCACUGUUUGUUUGCUUAGUGGUGUUUACAAAGUCCUGGUAGGAUCAUCACUGUGGGGGUUCUAUCUCCUUUUUGGAGAUUUCUUUCCUUGGUAAUUUUUCCUGGGUAGAUCUUCCUUCUUCUUUGGCAUCUUAUUUGCUAAAAUACCUUUAAAUUCUUUAAUUAGGUUGUUUUUUGUUAUCUGAAAAGACAGAAAAGGAAACCCUUCCCCAACCCUAACUUUGGGGAGGUUCCUAUUCUAAUCUUUAUCAGUUUUGAUUUAUGAGUUCUGAUGACAUUUUUGUUUUAUUUUCCAAAGUUCUUCUAUCAUCCAGAGCAGUAUGAGUUUUGACAAUAGGCAUUAAGUCUCUAGGGAUAAUUAUAUUGCAAAUUGACUACUAGUUUAACAUCUGCUUCAGAAAUGGUGAGUGUGUGCUAUAUGAAUUUCCUUAAAUCUAACAUUGCCACAGGAGUCCAAUCAGCUAUUACAGAGCCUAUAUCAUUUUGCAUUUCCUAUAAUGUUACUGGAUGUAUUAAGGUUUGUUGUAUGAAAACCUUAGACUGUUCCUCUCUAACCUUAUAAUGCAAUGCUGAAAUUAGUUCUUCUUUAAAUUCUUCUCUCUGGUUUUAAAUAUCUCCAUUAUCUGUUACGUUAAAUUUUUCUAAACCUUGUAUCUUGCCACUCAUA
Cricetulus griseus (Chinese hamster) is the source of this 1851-nucleotide non-coding RNA. NCBI's taxonomy places the organism in Eukaryota, Metazoa, Chordata, Mammalia, Rodentia, Cricetidae. The record is from RefSeq and is a predicted model, not a curated record.